AGAGUUUGAUCAUGGCUCAGAUUGAACGCUGGCGGCAGGCCUAACACAUGCAAGUCGAGCGGAUGAGAGGAGCUUGCUCCUCGAUUCAGCGGCGGACGGGUGGGUAAUGCCUAGGAAUCUGCCUGGUAGUGGGGGACAACGUUUCGAAAGGAACGCUGAUACCGCAUACGUCCUACGGGAGAAAGCAGGGGACCUUCGGGCCUUGCGCUAUCAGAUGAGCCUAGGUCGGAUUAGCUAGUUGGUGAGGUAAUGGCUCACCAAGGCGACGAUCCGUAACUGGUCUGAGAGGAUGAUCAGUCACACUGGAACUGAGACACGGUCCAGACUCCUACGGGAGGCAGCAGUGGGGAAUAUUGGACAAUGGGCGAAAGCCUGAUCCAGCCAUGCCGCGUGUGUGAAGAAGGUCUUCGGAUUGUAAAGCACUUUAAGUUGGGAGGAAGGGCAUUAACCUAAUACGUUAGUGUUUUGACGUUACCGACAGAAUAAGCACCGGCUAACUCUGUGCCAGCAGCCGCGGUAAUACAGAGGGUGCAAGCGUUAAUCGGAAUUACUGGGCGUAAAGCGCGCGUAGGUGGUUUGUUAAGUUGGAUGUGAAAGCCCCGGGCUCAACCUGGGAACUGCAUCCAAAACUGGCAAGCUAGAGUACGGUAGAGGGUGGUGGAAUUUCCUGUGUAGCGGUGAAAUGCGUAGAUAUAGGAAGGAACACCAGUGGCGAAGGCGACCACCUGGACUGAUACUGACACUGAGGUGCGAAAGCGUGGGGAGCAAACAGGAUUAGAUACCCUGGUAGUCCACGCCGUAAACGAUGUCAACUAGCCGUUGGAAUCCUUGAGAUUUUAGUGGCGCAGCUAACGCAUUAAGUUGACCGCCUGGGGA
Molecule: ribosomal RNA, 876 nt
Filed under: uncultured bacterium
Lineage: Bacteria
Description: bacterial SSU rRNA
Rfam family: Bacterial small subunit ribosomal RNA
Source: RNAcentral